AUUGAACGCUGGCGGCAUGCUUUACACAUGCAAGUCGAACGGUAACAGCACUGCGUUGGCUGACGAGUGGCGCACGGGCGAGUAAUACAUCGGAACGUGCCUAGUAGUGGGGGAUAACUACUCGAAAGAGUAGCUAAUACCGCAUGAGAUCUAAGGAUGAAACCAGGGGACUUUCGGGCCUUGCGCGACUAUAGCGGCUGAUGGCAGAUUAGGUAGUUGGUGGGAUAAAAGCUUACCAAGCCGACGAUCUGUAGCCGGUCUGAGAGGAUGACCAGCCACACUGGAACUGAGACACGGCCCAGACUCCUACGGGAGGCAGCAGUGGGGAAUUUUGGACAAUGGGCGCAAGCCUGAUCCAGCAAUGCCGCGUGAAGGAUGAAGGCCUUCGGGUUGUAAACUGCUUUUGUAAGGGACGAAAAGACCUCUUCUAAUACAGGAGGGUCAUGACGGUACCGUAAGAAUAAGCACCGGCUAACUACGUG
This 482-nucleotide ribosomal RNA is filed under the name uncultured bacterium. RNAcentral describes it as "partial 16S ribosomal RNA". It matches the Rfam family "Bacterial small subunit ribosomal RNA", at positions 30 to 507 of the family's 1533-position model. The record is from RNAcentral.